This 253-nucleotide ribosomal RNA is filed under the name uncultured bacterium. Its description in RNAcentral is "partial 16S ribosomal RNA". It matches the Rfam family "Bacterial small subunit ribosomal RNA", at positions 524 to 776 of the family's 1533-position model. The record is from RNAcentral.
UACGUAGGGUGCAAGCGUUGUUCGGAAUCAUUGGGCGUAAAGCGCGUGUAGGUGGUUAUGUAAGUCGAGUGUGAAAUCCCUGGGCUCAACCGAGGAAGUGCACCCGAAACUACAUAGCUAGAGGACAGUAGAGGAAGGUGGAAUUCCUAGUGUAGAGGUGAAAUUCGUAGAUAUUAGGAGGAAUACCGGUGGCGAAGGCGGCCUUCUGGGCUGGACCUGACACUGAGACGCGAAAGCGUGGGUAGCAAACAGG